AAUUAAUACAUACACUGUUAACGAUUUCUGUAAAUUACACUGUAUUUUACUGUAAUAUGAACUGUAUUUUACCGUAGGGCAUGUUAUACAGUAUGUUGCUGUAUUUUGAUGUUGCAUUGUGGGAAAUGUAAUCUUUGUGCCAGUAAAAUACUGUAUUUUCUGUUUACUGUAAAAUUUACAGUUAAUUAAAAAUACUGUAUUUUAAUGGCAGGUGGUGCUAAUUUGUUUUUUGGGGGAUUAACUCUCUGAUUAAGGUUUGGUGUCGUUGCAUAGUUAAGCCUAAAGGGGACUUUGAGUUAAUGUUGAGUGUCAAGCCUUACAAUCCAAUAUAGAAAGCUAUCUUAUACAAAUAAUGUAAUAUUAUUGUAUUUAAAUAUUGAUUUAAAAUGUAAAGUAAAAUUCAGAAGACUUAAACAAAGUCCUAAAAACAAUCAAACAACUAAAUUAGUGCAAGUAGAGCUGAUUUAUUUACCAAAACACAAUAUAAUCAUCUUCAUUAAAGCUUUGUAUAUUCCAAUUAAUUUACAAAUGUAAGUGUUUAAAAAUUAGAGAUAGGUUUUGCCGGUUGUUGAUGAGUGAUGAAUACCAGCUGUGAAUUUUCUCAACGCGUGUAAGCAGCCACGUCACAGGAAACCGAAACAGUGUUCCAAUAUAAAGUGAGGGUCCUUGACAGUGGCCGCACCCGCAUACUACACGAUAUAAUGAUUCCCCACCUCGGGAGCUAUAGGGAACGAAUUGAGACACAGCCCUGGAUGUAAUCACGUCUGUGCUGAUCACGUGCCUGUACACAAACCCGCAGCUCACUUGUAAAAGAUUAUCCGGUUAUUUAUUACACGUAAAGUAAACGUUUUUAAUGUUAUCAUGAAUCAAUGUUAUAGUUUUGUAUGUCACAUUAUUUUUUGAGAAGAGUCAUGACUGAACGCGGACCUUACACGCUGUUAUUUUUUUGUGUGCGUAUGGCCAAGGUACAGUGCGCUCUUUUGCACUAUGACCAGCCAUCAGUAAAUCGAAAUACAGUAAAAAAAAAAUGAGCGCGAAACCCUGACACUUUACAGAAAGGCACGGAUAUCCCCGCCCGAAGAAAAAAAGAACACAGGACAAUGGUUGCAAGUUAAACAGCUGGUAAGUAAAAUGAGUAAUCCUGUGAUUUCUUAACAUAUUUAAUUUUUUAUUUGGUUAAUUAAUUUGAAACACUUAACAACACGCAGUUAACGGUAAUUUACCUCACACGUUAGGACUGUUGUGACUAAACAGAUAGGGAGAGAGCUUUGUGGUGAAAACUCUUUUUAAGACUCAACAAAACUUUCGGUGCAAGUUAUCAUAUUUAUUUCUUUUCCUUUUUAGAACAUUUCACCAUCUGCAAAGAACAUUUCACCAUCAACAUAUUAACAUAAACGGUUCUCUUUUUCUUGUUUGACUGCGUUUGGUACAGGUGAGUGUUCAUCUGAAAUGCUAGGCGACAAACUGAGCUUUUGUGUUUAACGCUAUUUUGAAGUCAGUCUCUCAGUUUCUCUCUAACAUGCACAUCUAACAAGGAAUAAUUGACGAUGGGUCGUUGAAUUAAAUUGAUAUAACUGCCAGUAACAAAAAGUGUGUGUGUGUGCGUGCGUGUGUGUGCGUGUGCAGGUCACAACAACGACGGCAGAUGUAGAGACCACGCUUUUCCUUGCUUCCACUCCACGGCUGAUCAUGCUUGAGGAUCCAGAUCUACAAAACAAAAAAUGGAUGCUGCCGAUUGAAGGCUAAGUCCGAUUUCCUGCGAUUGACCUACCAUUUCUUCAGCAUUUGCUGUUCACUUUGGUUGCUACUACGUGCUCAACAUCGAGUACCAUGUGCAAGCAGCCACUACUUUGGAGUUUAUUCAGAGAUUUAUUGUGAGGAUCAGCCCCGACAACAGCAAGUGCUCCUCUAACUUCCAGGUGAGCAAAAGAAGUGGGAAGAUGGUGCAAAGGAAGAACUCUGGCCUGAACCACCUUUAUUAAGGACUUUAUGAAUUAAGCAAAACUAUUAAGCAACUAAAGCAAAUACAUUCUACUCAACUCACCAGAGGUUUGUGAAGUUCUUUUUUUUCUUAAAGGUUUCUUUUAGUUAAUUUGUCCAUGCACUGAUUUAUAAUAUUGUAAUAUGAAACUCCAGUGUAUACAUGUUACUACUGUUGCUUCUAAAAGCAAAAUAAGUCUAUGCAGGAGAGGUUUUGUUACGUUUUUUUUUUUUAAUUAUUCUUAUAGACGGUUUCAUCGGACGCACAUGACACACGUCUGGAUCCGAUCCUUACUUCCGGUUUCGCUUUUUUAAUGGUCUGACUAGUUGCUAAACUGAUCUCUUGAACAAAAGCCUCGUUGAAAAUAACAAAUGUUUUGGUUUCCGAGCUAAUCUAUGUGUUGUUUUUUUGCUUGUUAUAUAAAUAAAAUGCGUUUAAAGAACUUUGUUGUUUUUUAUUCUUAGCGGAGUUUAUCGGAAAUUCAUGCGGACCGCGACAGCCGCUUGUUUAUGAUGUUACUGCUGAAACCGUCUAUAGUUAUAACUGAAUUUGUACUAGUAUUAUUUGAUAAUACUGUGAAAUGAAACAGUGAGUAAAUGUUACAUUGGCUUUGAAAAAGCUGUUGCUGCAAGAAAUUACAAUUUACUCAGAAUAAUAUUUUGAAUGUAUAAGUUUUUGACAUUGCUUAUGACUGCAUUUGAAUGUAUUGUUCAUGAAUUGAUGCUGUGAUAUGUGUGUGUAAAUGUUUUGUAUUUUACUCAGGAAAGUAUUUUGUAUUUGAACAUUGUUAUUAUGACUGAGUUAGUUCAUGACUUGAUUUAAAAUUCUGUAAUAUGAUAUCUAUGAGUAAAUGUUAUUGCAGGUUUAAGAAAAACAGUUUGUGAUGCAAGCUGAAAGUUCAGUGUGCAAAAAAUAUGAAAAUCUGAUUUCAUGUAUUUGAAAAACUAAAAGAAAUUUUAAAAA
Misgurnus anguillicaudatus (oriental weatherfish) is the source of this 2944-nucleotide non-coding RNA. The record is from RefSeq and is a predicted model, not a curated record. Lineage: Eukaryota; Metazoa; Chordata; Actinopteri; Cypriniformes; Cobitidae.